This 433-nucleotide ribosomal RNA is filed under the name uncultured bacterium. RNAcentral describes it as "partial 16S ribosomal RNA". It matches the Rfam family "Bacterial small subunit ribosomal RNA", at positions 29 to 507 of the family's 1533-position model. The record is from RNAcentral.
AACGAACGCUGGCGGCAUGCCUAACACAUGCAAGUCGAACGAGACCUCCGGGUCUAGUGGCGCACGGUUGCGUAACGCGUGGGAACCUGCCCUUAGGUUCGGAAUAACUCCCCGAAAGGGGUGCUAAUACCGGAUAAUGUCUUCGGACCAAAGAUUUAUCGCCUUUGGAUGGGCCCGCGUUGGAUUAGCUAGUUGGUAGGGUAAAAGCCUACCAAGGCGACGAUCCAUAGCUGGUCUGAGAGGAUGAUCAGCCACACUGGGACUGAGACACGGCCCAGACUCCUACGGGAGGCAGCAGUGGGGAAUAUUGGACAAUGGGCGAAAGCCUGAUCCAGCAAUGCCGCGUGAGUGAUGAAGGCCUUAGGGUUGUAAAGCUCUUUUACACGGGAUGAUAAUGACAGUACCGGGAGAAUAAGCUCCGGCUAACUCCGUG